Myotis lucifugus (little brown bat) is the source of this 302-nucleotide long non-coding RNA. RefSeq lists it as uncharacterized. The transcript is spliced from 4 exons. The record is from RefSeq and is a predicted model, not a curated record. NCBI's taxonomy places the organism in Eukaryota, Metazoa, Chordata, Mammalia, Chiroptera, Vespertilionidae. The annotation marks the transcript as partial.
ACCCUUAGCCUGCAGCUCCAUUCAGCUGUCACUGGCAGUUAUGUCUCCGGCACUUACUCCAUCGUCUUUGUCAACUGUCCCAACGAGCAAAUUGCCAGAGAUAUUGCCAGGGCUAUACUGGAUAAGAAGCUGGCUGCCUCUGUGAACAUCCUGCCCAAGGCAUCCUCAUUGUACUUUUGGAAUGGAGAAAUAGAAGAAGCCACUGAGAUCCUGUUGUUAAUAAAGACAAAGACUUCCAAGGUCCGCGUGCUGUCCAGCUAUGUCAGGUAAUACUGGUGUCUCUUCUCAGCCAGGACCGUUCU